RNAcentral lists this unclassified non-coding RNA (329 nucleotides) under soil metagenome. RNAcentral describes it as "partial contains 5.8S ribosomal RNA, internal transcribed spacer 2, and large subunit ribosomal RNA". The stretch from base 1 to 119 matches the Rfam family "5.8S ribosomal RNA", at positions 36 to 154 of the family's 154-position model. The record is from RNAcentral.
AUGAAGAACGUAGUGAAAUGCGAUAAGUAAUGUGAAUUGCAGAAUUCAGUGAAUCAUCGAAUCUUUGAACGCACAUUGCGCCCUCUGGUAUUCCGGGGGGCAUGCCUGUUCGAGCGUCAUUACAACCCUCAAGCUUUGCUUGGUAUUGGACAUUGCCAGUUUCUGGCAGGUCUUAAAAUCAGUGGCGGUGCCAUUUGGCUUCAAGCGUAGUAAUUCUUCUCGCUUUGGAGAUCCAGGUGGUUACUUGCCAAUAACCCCCAAUUUUUUCAGGUUGACCUCGGAUCAGGUAGGGAUACCCGCUGAACUUAAGCAUAUCAAUAAGCGGAGGA